Molecule: long non-coding RNA, 2019 nt
Organism: Carassius gibelio (silver crucian carp)
Lineage: Eukaryota; Metazoa; Chordata; Actinopteri; Cypriniformes; Cyprinidae
Exons: 2
Source: RefSeq, a predicted model, not a curated record
CCGUGUACGUUUUGAUAGUUUGUUUUUUCGAUUGAAACACAAAACAAAAUAACGAGAAACCACCCGUUUUUCGUUUGUCGUUUCAAACCAAAAUCAAAGAAACGGUAAAAAAAGAGCCGUUCUCCCGUUUUUGAUUCUGAAUCUAAAAACGAAAAAUGACAAAACCAAAAUCAAAUAACGGUCCGAUUUUGUUUUUUUGAAAUUCCUUUUUCCAUUUUUUCGUUUGAAGAUCUACAUUGAAAUACAGACAGGUUGGCCACGUGACCCGGAAGUAAUAGUAAAUAUGGCCUAUCAAAAUAAAAGCCAAGCUUUUAGAACGGUCAUAUUAUGCAGCGCUAACGUUAUACCAGAGUAACGUUAGAAGAAAAAUCUAUUAAUAAAUAGCCUUAUAUAAACCUGGACCGGAAUAAAUAUGUUAGCAACAGUAGUUUAUUACAGCUAUUUAAUAUCGUGCCUAUCCAGACAUCACCAGUCACGUUUAAUGAGCACAUUGUUUGGCUCAAUACAGUUGGUAAUAUAGGUUAACCUAAGAACUUAUUGUGUGUGCAGAGUUGUUACUGUUAGCGCUAUAUUAUAUAAUUAAAUUUAUAUUUAAUGUGGUUUCCACCGUAAUGAAUAACUGUUCCCCCUUUCUACCAGCAGGUGGCAGUAUUUAAAUGACUGACUGUAUGGUGUCUUUGGUAACUGUUUUAAAUCAAGAUUACUGAUACAGAUGUAUUUAUUGUUGUUCAUUGUAUUUUGUUUUUAUUUGCCUAGUUAUCAUCAUCAUCAUCAUCAUUCACCCAGCCCAGAGUUAAACCUGCUUCUGUUUUAACCUGAUUAUAACACUGCACUGCUAUCAGCUUCUUAUAGCAGCUCAGACAACAAACUCACAUCAGACAUGUCCUAAUCCUAAUGUAGGCCAUCUAGCCAAAAUAAUGAUUUACCAGUGUGCUAUAUACUUUGUGAAUCUUUCUUCUCUAUACACAUUCCAGUUUGUAUAACAUACAAAACUCUGAUUGUGUCAUGCCAGUGAAGAGAAUCCAUAAAAGUCUUAAAAUUUACAUAGCACAUACAUGCUUUCAAGGGCAUUGCAUGUACAAUCAAUGGCUGCAGAACAUUUGUUAAGCCCUAAGGUAAGAACAUUUUACAAGGUCCUCAAAAGAAAACCCCAAAACAUAAUUACAUUACUAAAAACAGGCUGUCAACGCUGAUUACAUCAGCAAUAACUGCAACAAAACGUUUCCAGUAACUUUUGAUAUGUCCUGCUUAUUGACUUGGACGAAUCUUUACCCAUUCCUCUGUACAGAACAGCUUCAACUCUUGGAUGUUGGUGGGUUUCCUCACAUGAGCUGCUUGCUUCCUCAUCCUUCCACAACAUUUCAAUCAUUUUAAGGUCAUAACUUUUGACUCUGCCUUUCCAAAACAUUCACUUUAUUCUUCUUUAAGGUAGGUGGGUAUACUUUGUCACAAUAUAAUAUAUAUAAUAGUAUAAAGUAUAAAUUGAGUUUGUAUCUCCCUUCUGGUACAUAGCAGACAUUAUCAGGCUAAUAUAGAAGCAAUUAUAAAAAUGGUAAACAUAAAUAAACUAUGAUCAGUGGAGCAGUGCUGAGGAUGAACUAUAGUUUAAGAGUCUGAUAGCUUGGGGGGAAAUGUUGCUCUGCAGUUGGUGCGGCAGCAGAAACUUCUAUAUCUCUUCCCAGAAGGCAGCAGGAUGAACAGGCUGUGGCUGGAUGUGAUGGAAAACCCAGUUGUGGCACCGUGCUGCCGCAGCCUCGUUGGAUGCCGGGUCUGCGUUGAGCAGUGGGCAACUACCUCGCCGCACUGCCCAAAAUGCAGGGACGAGAUGUUCCAAGAAAAAAAAAAUUUAAAUUACAGGGAUGGGGGAGAUUGUGAAUGUUUUGAAAGACACUAUUAGUUAGGAGAUUGUUUUAGUUAGUUUUUAUUUUAGGUUUAGGUUUUAAGUUAAGUCAAAUGGUUAAGUUUGGUUAUGUUCAUCUGUUAUGUUAUUUUAUGCAAUUAAUAAAUUGUUCAAUUUUA